Molecule: ribosomal RNA, 3149 nt
Filed under: Streptomyces coelicolor
Lineage: Bacteria; Bacillati; Actinomycetota; Actinomycetes; Kitasatosporales; Streptomycetaceae
Description: 23S ribosomal RNA
Rfam family: Bacterial large subunit ribosomal RNA
Source: RNAcentral
ACAGUGGACGCGAGCAUCUGUGGCCAAGUUUUUAAGGGCGCACGGUGGAUGCCUUGGCACCAGGAACCGAUGAAGGACGUGGGAGGCCACGAUAGGCCCCGGGGAGUCGUCAACCAGGCUUUGAUCCGGGGGUGUCCGAAUGGGGAAACCCGGCAGUCGUCAUGGGCUGUCACCCUUGCCUGAACACAUAGGGCAAGUGGAGGGAACGCGGGGAAGUGAAACAUCUCAGUACCCGCAGGAAGAGAAAACAACCGUGAUUCCGGGAGUAGUGGCGAGCGAAACCGGAUGAGGCCAAACCGUAUGCGUGUGAGACCCGGCAGGGGUUGCGCAUUCGGGGUUGUGGGAUCUCUCUUUCAUGGUCUGCCGGCCAUGAGACGAGUCAGAAACCGUUGAUGUAGGCGAAGGACAUGCGAAAGGUCCGGCGUAGAGGGUAAGACCCCCGUAGUCGAAACGUCAGCGGCUCGUUUGAGAGACACCCAAGUAGCACGGGGCCCGAGAAAUCCCGUGUGAAUCUGGCGGGACCACCCGCUAAGCCUAAAUAUUCCCUGGUGACCGAUAGCGGAUAGUACCGUGAGGGAAUGGUGAAAAGUACCGCGGGAGCGGAGUGAAAUAGUACCUGAAACCGUGUGCCUACAAGCCGUGGGAGCGUCGCGCAAGGACUUGUCCUUGCGUCGUGACUGCGUGCCUUUUGAAGAAUGAGCCUGCGAGUUUGCGGUGUGUUGCGAGGUUAACCCGGGUGGGGAAGCCGUAGCGAAAGCGAGUCCGAACAGGGCGUUUCAGUAGCACGCUCAAGACCCGAAGCGGAGUGAUCUAGCCAUGGGCAGGUUGAAGCGGAGGUAAGACUUCGUGGAGGACCGAACCCACCAGGGUUGAAAACCUGGGGGAUGACCUGUGGUUAGGGGUGAAAGGCCAAUCAAACUCCGUGAUAGCUGGUUCUCCCCGAAAUGCAUUUAGGUGCAGCGUCGUGUGUUUCUUGCCGGAGGUAGAGCACUGGAUAGGCGAUGGGCCCUACCGGGUUACUGACCUUAGCCAAACUCCGAAUGCCGGUAAGUGAGAGCGCGGCAGUGAGACUGUGGGGGAUAAGCUCCAUGGUCGAGAGGGAAACAGCCCAGAGCAUCGACUAAGGCCCCUAAGCGUACGCUAAGUGGGAAAGGAUGUGGAGUCGCACAGACAACCAGGAGGUUGGCUUAGAAGCAGCCACCCUUGAAAGAGUGCGUAAUAGCUCACUGGUCUAGUGAUUCCGCGCCGACAAUGUAGCGGGGCUCAAGCGUACCGCCGAAGUCGUGUCAUUGCAGCAGAUAGCCCCAACGGGUGCUGUGAUGGGUAGGGGAGCGUCGUCUGCCGGGUGAAGCAGCCGCGGAAGCGAGUUGUGGACGGUUGACGAGUGAGAAUGCAGGCAUGAGUAGCGAUUCACACGUGAGAAACGUGUGCGCCGAUUGACUAAGGGUUCCUGGGUCAAGCUGAUCUGCCCAGGGUAAGUCGGGACCUAAGGCGAGGCCGACAGGCGUAGUCGAUGGAUAACCGGUUGAUAUUCCGGUACCCGCUGUGAAGCGUCAAACAUCGAAUCCAGUGAUGCUAAGCCCGUGAAGCCGCCGGCUGAGUCUUCGGACGAGGUCGGAGUGGUGGAGCCGGUGACCCGAGCUGGUAGUAGGUGAGUGAUGGGGUGACGCAGGAAGGUAGUCCAUCCCGGGCGGUGGUUGUCCCGGGGUAAGGGUGUAGGACGUCAGGUAGGCAAAUCCGCCUGGCAUGUGUCUGAGACCUGAUGCCGAGCCGAUUGUGGUGAAGUGGAUGAUCCUAUGCUGUCGAGAAAAGCCUCUAGCGAGUUUCAUGGCGGCCCGUACCCUAAACCGACUCAGGUGGUCAGGUAGAGAAUACCGAGGCGUUCGGGUGAACUAUGGUUAAGGAACUCGGCAAAAUGCCCCCGUAACUUCGGGAGAAGGGGGGCCACAUCCGGUGAUGAGCUUCGCGCUCUGAGCUGGGGGUGGCCGCAGAGACCAGCGAGAAGCGACUGUUUACUAAAAACACAGGUCCGUGCGAAGCCGUAAGGCGAUGUAUACGGACUGACGCCUGCCCGGUGCUGGAACGUUAAGGGGACCGGUUAGCUCCAUUUCGGUGGGGCGAAGCUGAGAACUUAAGCGCCAGUAAACGGCGGUGGUAACUAUAACCAUCCUAAGGUAGCGAAAUUCCUUGUCGGGUAAGUUCCGACCUGCACGAAUGGCGUAACGACUUCUCGACUGUCUCAACCAUAGGCCCGGUGAAAUUGCACUACGAGUAAAGAUGCUCGUUUCGCGCAGCAGGACGGAAAGACCCCGGGACCUUUACUACAGUUUGAUAUUGGUGUUCGGUUCGGCUUGUGUAGGAUAGCUGGGAGACUGUGAACAUCGGACGCCAGUUCGGUGGGAGUCGUCGUUGAAAUACCAGUCUGGUCGUGCUGGAUGUCUAACCUGGGUCCGUGAUCCGGAUCAGGGACAGUGUCUGAUGGGUAGUUUAACUGGGGCGGUUGCCUCCUAAAGGGUAACGGAGGCGCCCAAAGGUUCCCUCAGCCUGGUUGGCAAUCAGGUGUUGAGUGUAAGUGCACAAGGGAGCUUGACUGUGAGACCGACGGGUCGAGCAGGGACGAAAGUCGGGACUAGUGAUCCGGCGGUGGCUUGUGGAAGCGCCGUCGCUCAACGGAUAAAAGGUACCCCGGGGAUAACAGGCUGAUCUUCCCCAAGAGUCCAUAUCGACGGGAUGGUUUGGCACCUCGAUGUCGGCUCGUCGCAUCCUGGGGCUGGAGUCGGUCCCAAGGGUUGGGCUGUUCGCCCAUUAAAGCGGUACGCGAGCUGGGUUUAGAACGUCGUGAGACAGUUCGGUCCCUAUCCGCUGUGCGCGUAGGAGUCUUGAGAAGGGCUGUCCCUAGUACGAGAGGACCGGGACGGACGAACCUCUGGUGUGCCAGUUGUCCUGCCAAGGGCAUGGCUGGUUGGCUACGUUCGGGAGGGAUAACCGCUGAAAGCAUCUAAGCGGGAAGCCUGCUUCGAGAUGAGGACUCCCACCUCCUAGAGAGGGUAAGGCUCCCAGUAGACGACUGGGUUGAUAGGCCGGAUAUGGAAGCACGGUAACGUGUGGAGUUGACCGGUACUAAUAGGCCGAGGGCUUGUCCUCAGUUG